AGCCAUGUGAUGCGCGCAGAGCAAACUAUUCUUUCGCCUUUUACUUAAGAAUACCGUGUGCUCGUCACAAUCAGUGUGCUCGUCACAAUCAGUGGCAUACGCCUAUUUUUGGAGGAG
This is a small nuclear RNA of Syzygium oleosum, 117 nucleotides long. RefSeq annotates it as U5 spliceosomal RNA. The record is from RefSeq and is a predicted model, not a curated record. The transcript has a single exon. NCBI's taxonomy places the organism in Eukaryota, Viridiplantae, Streptophyta, Magnoliopsida, Myrtales, Myrtaceae.